This 446-nucleotide ribosomal RNA is filed under the name uncultured bacterium. RNAcentral's name for it is "partial 16S ribosomal RNA". It matches the Rfam family "Bacterial small subunit ribosomal RNA", at positions 338 to 795 of the family's 1533-position model. The record is from RNAcentral.
CCUACGGGGGACAGCAGUCGAGAAUCAUUCACAAUGGGGGAAACCCUGAUGGUGCGACGCCGCGUGGGGGAAUGAAGGUCUUCGGAUUGUACACCCCUGUCAUGUGGGAGCAAAUUAAAAAGAUAGUACCACAAGAGGAAUAGACGGCUAACUCUGUGCCAGCAGCCGCGGUAAUACAGAGGUCUCAAGCGUUGUUCGGAAUCACUGGGCGUAAAGCGUGCGUAGGCUGUUUCGUAAGUCGUGUGUGAAAGGCGCGGGCUCAACCCGCGGACGGCACAUGAUACUGCGAGACUAGAGUAAUGGAGGGGGAACCGGAAUUCUCGGGGUAGCAGUGAAAUGCGUAGAUAGCGAGAGGAACACUCGUGGCGAAGGCGGGUUCCUGGACAUUAACUGACGCUGAGGCACGAAGGCCAGGGGAGCGAAAGGGAUUAGAUACCCUAGUAGUC